Molecule: long non-coding RNA, 918 nt
Filed under: Ursus thibetanus thibetanus
Lineage: Eukaryota; Metazoa; Chordata; Mammalia; Carnivora; Ursidae
Description: lncRNA (ENSUTTG00000003014.1)
Source: RNAcentral
AAAUGGAUUUUCUACAAUGGAUUUAAGAAACUUUACUUUAUCUUCUCAUUCCUGUGAAAAUAUUUAGGGGACGAUUUGUCUGUUUGAGUUUAUAGCACUCAUUAAAUUAUCAAAAGAUGUUAUAAUUUUUUUUCUUUUUUCUUAUUUUUAGUUUAUUGAUAUUAAUACUUUCAUUGGUCUGAUAAAACAUUUAUAUUAUGGAUCUAUUUUUUUUCUCAGAAUAUAUAUCAUUACUGAUAUGUUUCCAGUUACUUUUUAAAGGACAUGAUAGCAGAUGAUCAGAUGUUCUGAGACACUGUAAUUGCCCGUUCUGAUUUCACUUGAAAGUUUUUCUGAAGUCUAGUUCUUAGAAAUCUCUUUUAAAAGGUAAAAGAUCAAAUUGAUUUUCUAUAUAUUUUAAGAUGCCAUCAUUCAAUUGCUGUCCAUCUACAACUGUUCGGUGUAUACUUCUGUGUGGUAUUCAUGGUGCUGACUCACCAGUUCUUUCUAGAGAACAGAUAACAAAAGGUUUAUUCACCUGAAGGUUACAUUUCUGGUACGUUUUUCCUGUUCUUGGACACAUAUCUUAGGCAAAAACAUUUUUUUCAUUGAAUAGGAAACCUUCUUGGUCUCACUUCUAUUCAUGACACAUGGGCUGGAAAAGUAUAGUUAAGAGCCAGAGAGUUUCAGAGAUGUUUACUUUGGUCCAUGUGGCGUUGUCACUCAGAGAGAAAGAGAUCAAGGGAGAGCACAAGCAGGGGGAAUGGCAGGCAGAGGGAGAAGCAGGUUCCCUGCCGAGCAAGGAGCCUGAUGCGGGACUUGAUCCCAGGACUCUGCGAUCAUGACCUGAGCCGAAGGCAGACGCUUAACCGACUGAGCCACCCAGACCAUGCUUAUGGCCAAAGAGAUGUCAACAAAAAUGACUGCUGUCCCUUCUGG